CGGCCUACAAGCAAGCAAGCACCAGUUCGUUUUUCCUCAAAGGGAAGUAAAGCGUCCGUGUGACCCAUCCUAAUGACCAUCAACGAACUGCCGGUCUUCUUGCAAUGGAGGCACAUUAUGGAAACAGUUCAAUGGAUUCUAUGGCUGCUCCUGGUGUUUCCAGAAGGGUCCCCUUGUCGAAGGUAUUGUAAAGAACCCCUUCAAGAAGGAUGGAAUGCUUGAGCACACUCAUAAGACUGUGCUGCAACCAAUGAAAGCUGCAGUCCGCCAAAGCAAGAGUGCAGUUGUUUAUUGCACAAAAGGACUGUCUCCGGUUGCGGUGCUGCGUGCCUUGGACAUGGUGUGGGGUGUGUCACCCGAUUAUAUGCAUUGUGUGUUAGAGGGCGUUGUGCCGCAGAUGAUGGAGCUAUGGUUGUCAGCAAAAGGCACUGCUUGGUACAUCGGCAGCAGCGUCCGCGACCUAGACAGCUGGUAGCCUGCUCAUCAGCUCUCAUCUGUCAUUUAGAAGGCUCCCUAAGAGUGUCAGUGAGCGGUCCGUCUGGAAAGCAACCCAGUGGAAAUAUUGCUGUUGUGUUACGCCCUUCCCUGCCUUUAGGGCAUUCUUCCUUGGAGUUUGUGUGACACCCGGGGUUGCUUUCCGAAUCAGUGUUCUUGCGUCUUCAGAGAACAGUGCAAGUAGCUCAUGUCACUUCCUGACAUGAGCAACUUGCACAAACUGCUCGAGCAGUUUGUGGCUGACUUGGUUGCUCUUUAUGGUAAAACUACAGGAACCUUUACUGUCCACCAGCUGUUGCACCUGUCAAGAAGUGUAGAAAUGUUAGGCCCAUGAUGGGCAACGUCAAACUUCGUUUUCGAAGAGGGAAAUGGCACAGUGCUGAGGUUGAAUUCUGCUGCGAAAGGGGUGCCUCUGCAGGUAGCAGACAGGUUGGUAAUGGAGGCAAGCCUUAAUUCCGGUUCACGACUUGUCAGAAUGCCAGGUCACCUAAAGAAAAGAUGGGAUGAGCUUUCGGCAAGAAAGCUAGGGGUAUUCUACAUGUGUACUUGGUAGUCCAGUACCCAGAGUGGCUCAUCUUCCAUUUCACAUUCAGGACAUGUUUGUCCAUUUACUGGUAUCUUGACCAACCUCGACAGAGUAGUUAAGAGCUCGCGUAAACAAUGUUGUCAUACACAGCUCGAAGUAUAAGCGACCCGAGAAGACCUGCUCAAAGUAUGUAAAAAUGCGUGAUGGGACAUACUGCGAAGUGAAGCACAUUUUUCCUUUUGAUGGUCCUUCUAUUACAUUCGUUUGCCGAGAGCUCACAACAUCAGACGGUAGGUUUGAAACAGCUCAUUAGCGAAUUUCCCGCCAUCCUCCCCUAAAUUAACAACUCUGUUUGUUUUUGAACACGAUUUUUCUUCUCAGUGUGCAUUUAUUGAACAGUGCCUUGAGUCAUACAUUUCAGACGUGCCCAAUUGUUAUGAAAACAAUUAAGUGCCAAGAAUCUCAGGUCUCACAUGUCCCGAUGUGUUACUUUCCGAGUGCUUCUCCCUGGCCAGGUCGACCCCAGAAAGUAUGCAGCGAUGACUGGCUACUGCCACCUGGAUGGCCAUCUCUCACUUCAGGUUGUAUUCCUUAAGGCUUAAAAGAUAGGCUAACCACCUAUCUUAAAGGGCAUUGUGAGCCUAAAAGUGAUGCCUAGUGUCACAUUGGAAAGCUUGUAAGAAACGGAUUUCAUGACAAAAUUAACUUGUAUGUAACUCUUUCAUAUCAAUUGAAAUUUUUUCUGGUAAAUUUGGGGGAUCUCACAAGAUCGGUAUUUUUGUCUGGAAAUCAUUGUCACGUGAAUUUUGUAGUAUGCUUAAUAUAAAGUAAAGAACAAUAAAAGCAUUGGUGUUAUAAAAAUUUAGAGUACUGCAGGUGUGGGUACGAUAUACAGAUAUCGUCACAUGAUCCCAGUUGCGUUAUGAUACUUGUUUACCACUCUGUUUUUUACGCUCAUUAUAGCUAUUGCUUCUUAGUAUGGGGAACUACGACUGACAAAUAUCCAACAAAUGCAUAUUCUCCAAAAAAGAUUGAUCCCUAUAAUAUGCAACACAUACGCCUAUGAUAGCCAUACGAAACCAUGGUUCGAAAAAUUCAAUAUUGUGAAAGUUAACAACUACCAUACAAAAAGUCCUUAUGUCAUAACCAUUCAUUCCUAUCCGUCCCUGACCUUGAGUUCAGGAAAAAGACUAACUAUACUCAUCGGACAGAUAUAUGGUCAGUACCACUCUCCAGGACCAGUUACGGCAACCAAAUGUUGAGAUGUACACUACCGCGCCUUUGAAAUUGUUGUAGUAAAUUGAACAUAAACAUUUUUAUUAGGACUCGAAAAGAAGUGUGUGCUUUUUUUACGCGCUUUCAUAAGUAUUUCUCUGCAUAGCUAGAGGAUGAGGUGUGUGUACGGUUUAGAUUAUUUUCUCUUUGCUAUCUUUGAUACCUAUAUUGUUUGUUGCUAAUUAUGUUAAUAAUGUUAUAGAUAUUAUGUAUGUGGGCUUUUCUCUAUGCUGCUGUAUGGGGGCAGAGGCUUGUCACGCAACACUGAGUUUUUUUUUCUCUGCCUCCCCUGUCCAA
This 2593-nucleotide unclassified non-coding RNA is filed under the name Ixodes scapularis (black-legged tick). RNAcentral's name for it is "uncharacterized LOC121833105, transcript variant X1". Lineage: Eukaryota; Metazoa; Arthropoda; Arachnida; Ixodida; Ixodidae. The record is from RNAcentral.